CAAAGACCUGGAGGAUCCCAAAACCUCAUCGAUCGCCAGCGUUGAUUUGGCUGAUCUGGCUGGCUAUGUGGGGGUCCCCUUCCUCCCUCACCGCUCCAUGUCUGCCCCUCCCGAAGCUGCACAGUCAGUAUAAGAGGAUGACCACCCCAUAGAGAAGGACCAUUUCCUCGGUCAAGGGUGUAGGGCAUAUGAGUAGCUUCACUCCCCUGUUAGAGCCUCCAAACAAGUUCUCAAAAAACCCAGGUCUUCAGAACUCAGUUGCCUUUGAUCAAGCAAUGAUAUAUUUUCAGAACCAAGAACCAUUCUUUUUUUUUUU
RNAcentral lists this small nuclear RNA (316 nucleotides) under Heterocephalus glaber (naked mole-rat). RNAcentral's name for it is "7SK RNA". It matches the Rfam family "7SK RNA". From Rfam's summary of the family: 7SK was discovered as an abundant small nuclear RNA in the mid-70s but a possible function has only recently been suggested. Two independent studies have found that 7SK RNA binds the CDK9/cyclin T complex (known as elongation factor P-TEFb). P-TEFb activates transcription by phosphorylating the C-terminal domain of RNA polymerase II. The record is from Rfam by way of RNAcentral. Lineage: Eukaryota; Metazoa; Chordata; Mammalia; Rodentia; Bathyergidae.